AUAUCAAAGACGGAACGAACUUGGGUUGAAACCGGCGUACGCGAAUAGCUCUCUUUGAUCAAUUAACUAAAGUAACUGUGCUCCAUAGUUGUACGUGUUCGUAGGGAAUGCGCCGUACAAAUAUUCCUAUUCAUAUGUGAACAACCCACGGACACAGAGCAUCGCCUUCAAAUGCUACACGGCUGCGACAAAAAUCCGGCAAACGAACGGACAAAAUAAACGCAAAGAAACGAAUGCCACCCCGCAUCGAUUCGUUGCAGAGUACGCGACGACGUCAUGGGGGCCGGACUCAACGGGUCCGGGGACUUCCGUGACGUCAAUUACCGAGAACCCGCUGGACACGGCCCUAAAAAUAGUCCUGAAGUCGUAUAACGACAUCGUUGGAUGGUUGGAUGUCGGUGCCAUUCGGAUGGGGGAAACUUACGUUUGCCAAGCGAGCGCGUAUCGUCCCUCGGCGAUAAACUGGUCUGAAAAUUUUUCACGAUAGUUUUCCCGUAAUAGUUACGUUUUCGGAUACAGGAUAUUCCGUUAUUCGCUCGAAUAUCAACAAUCCGCAACUGUAUCGGGGACGUGAAAGUUAUGGGGCGGCGGUUCCGUAAUAUCGCGCUACCCGAACACGAAAAAGCUCGUUGCUAAGCAAACGAAUUACGAUUUACCCAAAUUAUUUCACGCGCUUAACUUUCUUCAUCCCCAAUAUAUAUAUAUGUAUACGUACGCCUAUCGGCACUCGACAAAGACAAACUUUCCCACCCUUCGCGAUACCUCCGUGCGAUUCGUUGUCCCUCUGCGACGAGUCGGUUUUUCCUCUUUUCCUCCCAUGUCAUUUUUGGCACCGAUCCCUGUGGAUGUGCAAUCGCAUUCAGUUCGUGACAUAAUUUUUUCUCAUUGUUAGACAAACUCCGCUCUGACAUAAUGUUUGCGUUGUUGUAUAUUUUAGGGGAUAGUAGAGAUGUAACGUAAUACUUAUUGUGAUUCUUGAGCAAUCAUGAACGAUAUACAUGUGCACACACAAUAUAUCUAAGAGAUUACCUGACAUAAUUGCGGGGUGAAUAUAACUACACGUGAGAGAUAAUGAAGAGAAAAAAUUUUAUAUUUAAAAAAUCAAUUCGCACGUAGGCGUGAUGAUAUACGAGAGGCAAGCAAAGUAGUAGUUUCUGUGGUUUAUUUUUAUCCGACGACGCACGAGAACGCUCCGUCGACAAGUUUUCAUUACAUAAUUACGCGCUGAAGGUGGAUACCUAUUACACUUUUUUUUCUCCUCUUUCAAUUUAAUGCACGUUGUUUCAUAUUCUUACAAAGGGAAGUACUCUCGAAGUAUAUCGCGGAGUACGCGAUGAACUUUGAAGUCCGGGAAAUUUUAUAACACCCAUUUUCGUUUGUUCUCUUCGUGCAUUCCGCCACGUAUAUAGGAAAAAUGAUCUUUUCUUUCAAAGUUAGUCUCUUUGUAAAACGAGAUCUCGUUAUGCGAGAAAAGAGAAAAAAAAAAAACACACGCACGGGGUGGCGGUCGUUAAUUGUACUUUACACGGACGGCGCGGGCGAGACUAAAAGGUAACACUCCUCCGCGUUGUUACUCCGUUUAAUGAUGGGCGGAGGAUAUCGGCUACUUGUCAUUUCCGACGUUUCGAGUUCCCUUUUUUACCGUAAUCGUAAUCCGUAUUUUACACCUUCUAGUUUAAAAAAAUAUGAACCCUGAAUAAGAAUUAACAUUCUUGAUAAUCGAGGGUAAGUUUUAUUCGAAAAGAUCAAAUCCCAUUCUUUUUUUUUCUUCAUUCGUUUUUAUAUCUCCUAUCGUUUUAAGCUCUAUUUUCUCUUUUCUAUUCUAUAGAUCGCAGAGUCCGAAAUGACGUUAGCUGCGGUCCAGCCGGAGAAAAUUUUAGGUGGAGAAAAUGCAACGUGAAUCGGGAUGUAAAGGAUUUACAUCUGCGGUGGUUCGUCGGUGUCACUUUUCCACGUCUUGACCGCCGUCCACCGCGUACGUGGGUGAACUGUUAUAAUUGGAUUAAUUACAUCGAUACACGUGUAGGUGAAGCAAAAUUGUGCCAAUUAGCGUUCGUUAUAUCUACCGGUCGAGAUUCCUACCUACAGGUAUAUCCUCGCUAUAUAAGGGAUUUUACGACUCCAAAGGAGCUUAUCGUUCUACCAUUCGUAAUCCCUACGCUAUCCGAGUUUAAUACUGACAGUGAAGAGUGAAGAGCCUUAUUUCUAAUACCAUUAUUAUUGCGGAGCAAAAGUUUCGUCGACUGUGCAGAGAGAGAGAGAGAGAGAAAAAGAGAGGGAAAUGAAGAGGGAGAAGGUGGCGUUGCGACGUGCACAUAUUAUGGAAACAAACAUAUUUCACAUUGUCGGUUAUAAUCAGAAUAAAAUCCCUCGGGAUCUUGAGGAAAAACGAA
Long non-coding RNA from Athalia rosae (coleseed sawfly), 2393 nucleotides. RefSeq lists it as uncharacterized. The transcript has 2 exons. Lineage: Eukaryota; Metazoa; Arthropoda; Insecta; Hymenoptera; Athaliidae. The record is from RefSeq and is a predicted model, not a curated record.